UACGUAGGGGGCUAGCGUUGUCCGGAUUUAUUGGGCGUAAAGAGCGUGUAGGCGGCCAAGUAGGUCCGGUGUGAAAACUCGAGGCUUAACCUCGAGAUGUCAUCGGAAACCAUUUGGCUAGAGUCCGGAAGAGGAAAGUGGAAUUCCUGGUGUAGCGGUGAAAUGCGCAGAUAUCAGGAAGAACACCAAUGGCGAAAGCAGCUUACCAAGCUGUAACUGACACUGAGGCACGAAAGUGUGGGGAUCAAACAGG
Molecule: ribosomal RNA, 253 nt
Filed under: uncultured bacterium
Lineage: Bacteria
Description: partial 16S ribosomal RNA
Rfam family: Bacterial small subunit ribosomal RNA
Source: RNAcentral